CCCGCAAUAAAACAAAAUAAAUGAAACUAAGUCGACCUGCUGAUUAAAUGAACCCUUUGUAAUCUAUACUAUUAAACGAGAAGACCUUAUUUUGUGUGUCGCUUCUCUUCCUUUCACAAUAAAUCAAUCAUCAUGCCUCUGUGUCCUAUAGGUAACAUGCAUAGUCGCAUUUGUCAUCCAUUCUUAUGAUUAUUCAGAUUGAGUUAUUUUGGGAAAAAAACGACAAAAAAGGAGUCCGGAUAUGAUUCCGUCAUUGGACUUACAUUUAGUCAUAGAUAAGACUUCCGGUUUGAAAAAUUCACAAAUACAACCAAUCGUAUGAUAGAUAACAAAAUUGAAAAAAUAAAUAAGCCAAUCAGAGCGUUCUCAUUAUCAUAGUGCUUAGAUCGUAAGAACCACAACUAUUAUACGUCCUUAUAGAGGACAAUUAUUUUUCGCGUUUAUCUAUGUAAACUACGAUUAUACUACUUUAAUAUAUAGGGAAAACGGUAGUAUUUAAUUUUCCCAGCAUUAGGUUGGCCUUUUGUGUACCCAAGGCAGGUGAAGGAAGUCAAAUUAGGAGCGCUGUGAUUGGAUGUAAGGGUACAAUAUAUUUUUUAUUUAUCUAUGAAUAACUGCAGGGUUUAUAUUUACAAUACAAAUUUUGAAACAUAUUGAAAUAUUUUCUAGAGAAUUAUUCGAAAAGACUUACAAAAUUUCAUAAAUUUGGUGCAAAAUGACGGUGGGCAUGGAUAACAUAAACAAGCUCCGUUGGAAGUUGGUCAUGAUACUAUUUGGCUUUAAUUUUUAAAACACAAUAAUAAAGUACUAACACAACAUAUAACUGUUUUAUCCAGGUUUUUAUCUUAAAAAGUGGUAAAUUUAGAAAAUGUUAAUAUUGUCGCCUAUGGCAGAAUAAAUAGUACCGUUUUCCCUAUAGAGACUCUCUGUAUUCUGUCAGGGACCAGUGGCGGAUCCAGAACUUUUC
RNAcentral lists this long non-coding RNA (967 nucleotides) under Mytilus galloprovincialis (Mediterranean mussel). The record is from RNAcentral. Lineage: Eukaryota; Metazoa; Mollusca; Bivalvia; Mytilida; Mytilidae.